This 705-nucleotide ribosomal RNA is filed under the name Klebsiella pneumoniae. Its description in RNAcentral is "partial 23S ribosomal RNA". It matches the Rfam family "Bacterial large subunit ribosomal RNA", at positions 911 to 1617 of the family's 2925-position model. The record is from RNAcentral. Lineage: Bacteria; Pseudomonadati; Pseudomonadota; Gammaproteobacteria; Enterobacterales; Enterobacteriaceae. RNAcentral also lists the same sequence under 1 other name.
UGUUUCGGCUAGGGGGUCAUCCCGACUUACCAACCCGAUGCAAACUACGAAUACCGAAGAAUGUUAUCACGGGAGACACACGGCGGGUGCUAACGUCCGUCGUGAAGAGGGAAACAACCCAGACCGCCAGCUAAGGUCCCAAAGUCAUGGUUAAGUGGGAAACGAUGUGGGAAGGCACAGACAGCCAGGAUGUUGGCUUAGAAGCAGCCAUCAUUUAAAGAAAGCGUAAUAGCUCACUGGUCGAGUCGGCCUGCGCGGAAGAUGUAACGGGGCUAAACCAUGCACCGAAGCUGCGGCAGCGACACUAUGUGUUGUUGGGUAGGGGAGCGUUCUGUAAGCCUGCGAAGGUGUGCUGUGAGGCAUGCUGGAGGUAUCAGAAGUGCGAAUGCUGACAUAAGUAACGAUAAAGCGGGUGAAAAGCCCGCUCGCCGGAAGACCAAGGGUUCCUGUCCAACGUUAAUCGGGGCAGGGUGAGUCGACCCCUAAGGCGAGGCCGAAAGGCGUAGUCGAUGGGAAACAGGUUAAUAUUCCUGUACUUGGUGUUACUGCGAAGGGGGGACGGAGAAGGCUAUGUUAGCCGGGCGACGGUUGUCCCGGUUUAAGCAUGUAGGCUGGUUAUCCAGGCAAAUCCGGAUAAUCAAGGCUGAGGUGUGAUGACGAGGCACUACGGUGCUGAAGUAACAAAUGCCCUGCUUCCAGGAAAAG